Long non-coding RNA from Fukomys damarensis (Damara mole-rat), 723 nucleotides. RefSeq lists it as uncharacterized. The record is from RefSeq and is a predicted model, not a curated record. The transcript has 3 exons. Lineage: Eukaryota; Metazoa; Chordata; Mammalia; Rodentia; Bathyergidae.
AGAAAAGUGCCUCCUGUCUCUCUGUCCUCGUCCUUUCAGGUUUAGGACCUGCUGGCGGGAUCCUGACGUUGCUGCUCGCGACAAGCCAUCCCCCUCCUUAGAAGGGAAGAGCCACAACCCCAGGAUUUCCUGGGUUCCCUCUCUAGGACUCAGAGGCCAGCUCACCAGCAGUGGAUCACUCAAACCCAGAACAGAGACAGCAGAAGGGCAGCUGAGUAAACAGGAUCAUCUGUAUGAGUGAUUCCUUCCUUACAAUCUGACAGAAAGUACUCUGAUUCCUCGUUAAAUGAUUGGGAGAUCUCCAUAGUAACAAAUUACAUCAGAACAUGGGAGCAAGAGUCAUGGCCAGCUUAAUGUGAGAAACAUCAUCUAGCAAGAAUGAAAGACCCUCCAGGGAUGGAUACCAGUGAUACCUGGCAGCUGUUCUCCUGUCUCAAAAGCUUUGGUGACAAAUACAACCUUCUUCAAGGGGGAAUAAAGCAGCAGCAGCAGGACGGGCCGGGGAUUUAGCUCCGUGGUUCCAGCGCCUGCCUCGCAAAUGCAAGGAUCCGUUGGAUCCCCAGUUCUAGAAGCGGGCCUCUUACUGCUGGAUGUGUCGCUACCUGGUGCGGGGGAAGAAGCAGAGAGCCCACUACCCAGUGGGGGAGGGAACGGGGUAGAACGGAGUUUAAAAUGCGUGAAGUAAGAAAUGUUAAAAAUGUCUCUGUCAUAACCUGAAACUUG